This 425-nucleotide ribosomal RNA is filed under the name uncultured bacterium. RNAcentral's name for it is "bacterial SSU rRNA". It matches the Rfam family "Bacterial small subunit ribosomal RNA", at positions 356 to 772 of the family's 1533-position model. The record is from RNAcentral.
GGGGAAUUUUCCGCAAUGGGCGAAAGCCUGACGGAGUGACGCCGCGUGGGGGACGAAGGCCUUCGGGUCGUAAACCCCUGUCAGAGGGAAAGAAGGGUGCUGGCGUGACUAGCGCCGGCAUCUGACGGUACCUUCAGAGGAAGCACCGGCUAACCCUGUGCCAGCAGCCGCGGUAAUACAGGGGGUGCAAACGUUGCUCGGAAUUAUUGGGCGUAAAGCGCGCGCAGGCGGCUACUUAAGUCGGAUGUGAAAGCCCCUGGCUCAACUGGGGAAGUGCACCCGAAACUGAGUGGCUUGAGUGCGAAAGAGGGUCGCGGAAUUCCCGGUGUAGAGGUGAAAUUCGUAGAUAUCGGGAGGAACACCGGUGGCGAAGGCGGCGACCAGGGUCGACACUGACGCUGAGGCGCGAAAGCGUGGGGAGCAAA